AUGAACGCUAGCGAUAGGCUUAACACAUGCAAGUCGAGGGGCAGCAUGGUCUUAGCUUGCUAAGACUGAUGGCGACCGGCGCACGGGUGCGUAACGCGUAUGCAACUUGCCUCACAGAGGGGGAUAACCCGUCGAAAGACGGACUAAUACCGCGUACACUCCAUCUUGGGCAUCCAAGGUAGAGGAAAUGAAAUUCGCUGUGAGAUAGGCAUGCGUCCCAUUAGCUAGUUGGUGAGGUAACGGCUCACCAAGGCGACGAUGGGUAGGGGAACUGAGAGGUUGAACCCCCACACUGGUACUGGGACACGGACCAGACUCCUACGGGAGGCAGCAGUGAGGAAUAGUGGUCAAUGGGCGAGAGCCUGAACCAGCCAAGUCGCGUGAAGGAUGACUGUCUUAUGGAUUGUAAACUUCUUUUAGACGGGAAUAACAAGAGUCACGUGUGACUCCCUGCAUGUACCGUAUGAAUAAGCAUCGGCUAACUCCGUG
This 489-nucleotide ribosomal RNA is filed under the name uncultured bacterium. RNAcentral's name for it is "partial 16S ribosomal RNA". It matches the Rfam family "Bacterial small subunit ribosomal RNA", at positions 29 to 507 of the family's 1533-position model. The record is from RNAcentral.